This 425-nucleotide ribosomal RNA is filed under the name uncultured bacterium. RNAcentral's name for it is "partial 16S ribosomal RNA". It matches the Rfam family "Bacterial small subunit ribosomal RNA", at positions 354 to 796 of the family's 1533-position model. The record is from RNAcentral.
GUGGGGAAUCUUGCGCAAUGGGCGAAAGCCUGACGCAGCCAUGCCGCGUGAAUGAUGAAGGUCUUAGGAUUGUAAAAUUCUUUCACCGGGGACGAUAAUGACGGUACCCGGAGAAGAAGCUCCGGCUAACUUCGUGCCAGCAGCCGCGGUAAUACGCAGGGGGCUAGCGUUGCUCGGAAUUACUGGGCGUAAAGGGCGCGUAGGCGGACAGCUUAGUCAGAGGUGAAAGCCCAGGGCUCAACCUUGGAAUUGCCUUUGAUACUGGCUGUCUUGAGUUUGGGAGAGGUGAGUGGAACUCCGAGUGUAGAGGUGAAAUUCGUAGAUAUUCGGAAGAACACCAGUGGCGAAGGCGACUCACUGGCCCAAUACUGACGCUGAGGCGCGAAAGCGUGGGGAGCAAACAGGAUUAGAAACCCCGGUAGUCC